RNAcentral lists this ribosomal RNA (443 nucleotides) under uncultured bacterium. RNAcentral describes it as "partial 16S ribosomal RNA". It matches the Rfam family "Bacterial small subunit ribosomal RNA", at positions 338 to 795 of the family's 1533-position model. The record is from RNAcentral.
ACUACGGGAGGCAGCAGUGGGGAAUAUUGGGCAAUGGGCGCAAGCCUGACCCAGCAACGCCGCGUGAAGGAAGAAGGCUUUCGGGUUGUAAACUUCUUUUCUCAGGGACGAAGAAAGUGACGGUACCUGAGGAAUAAGCCACGGCUAACUACGUGCCUGCAGCCGCGGUAAUACGUAGGUGGCAAGCGUUAUCCGGAUUUAUUGUGGGUAAAGGGCGUGUAGGCGGGAGCGCAAGUCAGAUGUGAAAACUCAGGGCUCAACCCUGAGCCUGCAUUUGAAACUGUGUUUCUUGAGUGCUGGAGAGGCAAUCGGAAUUCCGUGUGUAGCGGUGAAAUGCGUAGAUAUACGGAGGAACACCAGUGGCGAAGGCGGAUUGCUGGACAGUAACUGACGCUGAGGCGCGAAAGCGUGGGGAGCAAACAGGAUUAGAUACCCCAGUAGUC